Dipodomys ordii (Ord's kangaroo rat) is the source of this 65-nucleotide non-coding RNA. The record is from Rfam. Lineage: Eukaryota; Metazoa; Chordata; Mammalia; Rodentia; Heteromyidae.
GGUGGCUCAGUGGUAGAGCACAUGCCUUGCAUGCAUGAGGCCCUGGGUUCAAUUCCUCAGCACCA